This 646-nucleotide ribosomal RNA is filed under the name uncultured marine eukaryote. RNAcentral describes it as "SSU rRNA". It matches the Rfam family "Eukaryotic small subunit ribosomal RNA", at positions 613 to 1262 of the family's 1831-position model. The record is from RNAcentral.
UUGCGGUUAAAAAGCUCGUAGUUGGAUUUCUGUUGAGGAUGACCGGUCCGCUCUUUGAGCGCGUAUCUGGUUCAGCCUUGGCAUCCUCUUGGGGAACGCUACUGUGCUUGAUUGCAUGGGGCGGUAUUCAAGACUUUUACUUUGAGGAAAUUAGAGUGUUCACUGCAAGCGUUAGCAAUUGAAUACAUUAGCAUGGAAUAAUAAUAUAGGACCUUGGUACUAUUUUGUUGGUUUCUAGAACUAAGGUAAUGAUUAAUAGGGACAAUUGGGGGCAUUCGUAUUAACGCGUCAGAGGUGGAAUUCUUAGAUUGCGUUACGACGAACUACUGCGAAAGCAUUUGCCAAGGAUGUUUUCAUUGAUCAAGAACGAAAGUAUGGGGAUCGAAGACGCUUAGAUACCGUCGUAGUCUAUACCAUAAACUAUGCCAACUAGAGAUUGGAGGUCGUUCUCUUUAUGACUCCUUCAGCACCUUAUGAGAAAUCAAAGUCUUUGGGUUCCGGGGGGAGUAUGGUCGCAAGGCUGAAACUUAAAGGAAUUGACGGAAGGGCACCACCAGGAGUGGAGCCUGCGGCUUAAUUUGACUCAACACGGGAAAACUUACCAGGUCCAGACAUAGUAAGGAUUGACAGAUUGAUAGCUCUUUCU